UGAGAGGUGGGUGGAUGAGGUGAGCGGGAGUGGCUAGUGGGCUAAACUAAAAGAGAAGGCUGAGAGGAGGGUGGAUGAGGUGAGCGGGAGUGGCUAGUGGGCUAAACUAAAAGAGAAGGCUGAGAGGAGGGUGGAUGAGGUGAGCGGGAGUGGCUAGUGGGCUAAACUAAAAGAGAAGGCUGAGAGGUGGGUGGAUGAGGUGAGCGGGAGAGGCUAGUGGACUAAACUAAAAGAGAAGGCUGAGAGGUGGGUGGAUGAGGUGAGCGGGAGUGGCUAGUGGGCUAAACUAAAAGAGAAGGCUGAGAGGUGGGUGGAUGAGGUGAGCGGGAGUGGCUAGUGGGCUAAACUAAAAGAGAAGGCUGAGAGGUGGGUGGAUGAGGUGAGCGGGAGUGGCUAGUGGGCUAAACUAAAAGAGAAGUCUGAGAGGUGGGUGGAUGAGGUGAGCGGGAGAGGCUAGUGGACUAAACUAAAAGAGAAGGCUGAGAGGUGGGUGGAUGAGGUGAGCGGGAGUGGCUAGUGGGCUAAACUAAAAGAGAAGGCUGAGAGGUGGGUGGAUGAGGUGAGCGGGAGUGGCUAGUGGGCUAAACUAAAAGAGAAGGCUGAGAGGUGGGUGGAUGAGGUGAGCGGGAGAGGCUAGUGGACUAAACUAAAAGAGAAGGCUGAGAGGUGGGUGGAUGAGGUGAGCGGGAGAGGCUAGUGGACUAAACUAAAAGAGAAGGCUGAGAGGUGGGUGGAUGAGGUGAGCGGGAGAGGCUAGUGGACUAAACUAAAAGAACACUGCCUACAUUGAGGAGAGAGGUCUAGGACACUGCCUACAUUGAGAAGAGAGGUCUAGGACACUGCCUACAUUGAGGAGAGAGGUCUA
This is a long non-coding RNA of Oncorhynchus keta (chum salmon), 865 nucleotides long. RefSeq lists it as uncharacterized. The transcript is spliced from 5 exons. The record is from RefSeq and is a predicted model, not a curated record. NCBI's taxonomy places the organism in Eukaryota, Metazoa, Chordata, Actinopteri, Salmoniformes, Salmonidae.